RNAcentral lists this ribosomal RNA (410 nucleotides) under uncultured soil bacterium. RNAcentral describes it as "bacterial SSU rRNA". It matches the Rfam family "Bacterial small subunit ribosomal RNA", at positions 26 to 431 of the family's 1533-position model. The record is from RNAcentral.
AGAGUGAACGCUGGCGGUAGGCCUAACACAUGCAAGUCGAACGGCAGCACAGGAGAGCUUGCUCUCUGGGUGGCGAGUGGCGGACGGGUGAGGAAUACAUCGGAAUCUACCUUUUCGUGGGGGAUAACGUAGGGAAACUUACGCUAAUACCGCAUAAGACCUUCGGGUGAAAGCCGGGGACCUUCGGGCCUGGCGCGGAUAGAUGAGCCGAUGUCGGAUUAGCUUGUUGGCGGGGUAAAAGCCCACCAAGGCGACGAUCCGUAGCUGGUCUGAGAGGAUGAUCAGCCACACUGGAACUGAGACACGGUCCAGACUCCUACGGGAGGCAGCAGUGGGGAAUAGUUAGGACAAUGGGCGACAAGGCCUGAUCCAGCCAAUCGCCGCGGUGAGUAGACGUAGGUCCGUUAGGU